UGGGGAAUUUUGGACAAUGGGCGAAAGCCUGAUCCAGCAAUGCCGCGUGUGUGAAGAAGGCCUUCGGGUUGUAAAGCACUUUUGUCCGGAAAGAAAUGGCUCUGGUUAAUACCUGGGGUCGAUGACGGUACCGGAAGAAUAAGGACCGGCUAACUACGUGCCAGCAGCCGCGGUAAUACGUAGGGUCGAAGCGUUAAUCGGAAUUACUGGGCGUAAAGCGGGCGCAGGCGGUUGUGCAAGACCGAUGUGAAAUCCCCGGGCUUAACUUGGGAAAUGCCUUGGUGACUGCGCGGCUAGAGUGUGUCAGAGGGGGGUAGAAUUCCCCGUGUAGCAGUGAAAUGCGUAGAGAUGUGGAAGAAUACCGAUGGCGAAGGCAGCCCCCUGGGAUAACACUGACGCUCAUGCACGAAAGCGUGGGGAGCAAACAGG
This 429-nucleotide ribosomal RNA is filed under the name Bacillota bacterium. Its description in RNAcentral is "Firmicutes bacterium partial 16S ribosomal RNA". It matches the Rfam family "Bacterial small subunit ribosomal RNA", at positions 355 to 776 of the family's 1533-position model. Lineage: Bacteria; Bacillati; Bacillota. The record is from RNAcentral.